AUCAGGAUCAGAAGUCAUGCAUGUUGCAAAAAAUAUAUAAAUGCAUGAACUGAUCAACGUAACUUUGGACGUGAAGAAUGAAAAGCAACAUAAAAGAAACUUUGUCGAUUUACCCGUGCCUUGUGUAUGAAAUAGCCAACCUGUGAAGGUCUGUUAUGCUCCUUAUUCACGCGUUGAUCGUCUCUGGCAGGAGCUCCUGUGAAAUUUGUUAACAAACAUCAAUGUGUUCACUACUUAAUUAUGGAUUGACUACCAUGUAUGAGAAGUGGAUCACACACCGGAGAAUAAGUAGCCAUCGCCAUGAUUAUGCAAAUUCACUACAUGUUGAUGCAAAUAGGCAUCGAGUGCAUAACGAUAACCACGUCGCUGUGAUUCUAUAAGUUUAGAAUUAAUAACUCAUAAAUCUAACAAAUAAUAUAAAAUUCUUAAAACAUGGGUAAUACUGAUAUAUAACCUUCUUGAACAUCAUGGCUUGAUAUAUCACCUUCAUGAACAUCAUGGUUUGAUCCUAAACUUGUUUCUAUA
This 525-nucleotide long non-coding RNA is filed under the name Daucus carota (carrot). RNAcentral describes it as "long non-coding RNA (DCAR_LNC004832)". The record is from RNAcentral. Lineage: Eukaryota; Viridiplantae; Streptophyta; Magnoliopsida; Apiales; Apiaceae.